UUUGUUUGUCGGCUCCAUUUCAUGCGAAAUGCAGUGUGUUAAUUUUUAGAGACUCAAUAAAUUUGUUUACUGAUCUUGUAAUCACCAAUGAUCCUUUUCGGUAUUGUGACUUAACUUGCACAAUAUCAUUAAUUAAUUCUUCAUCUAUUAUUUAACUACUCAAGCUCAAGUAUAUGUCACUUUGGAGUUUUUUAUAAACGUGACUAAAAAGAUAAUUGCACUUUGAUAAUAUAGAUAGAGUCAAAUCAAUUAUUUUAAAUCUUUUUGUAAACCAUAAAUCAUGAUAUUACAAUCACUCAUAGCAAUGUACUUAUUGCACUCCAUGAUUGUAAUCUAUGUUAGGUUGAACCCACACAUGUAAACCUCGUAUGAACUCAUCUCUGAUAUUAUUUAUAACAUCUCGAUUGUACAUGGUUAAUGGACCUCCCACACCCACUCACUCCACCCAUAGUCCCUAUUUUUUUUUUUUUGACGGCAAACGGCUAUUCUAUUACUCAAACUUGAGGUGGCCUGGGGAGCCAGACCGGAAGAGAAGAACCAAU
Molecule: long non-coding RNA, 542 nt
Filed under: Brassica napus (rape)
Lineage: Eukaryota; Viridiplantae; Streptophyta; Magnoliopsida; Brassicales; Brassicaceae
Description: long non-coding RNA (BNAP_LNC004358)
Source: RNAcentral